Megalopta genalis is the source of this 958-nucleotide non-coding RNA. Lineage: Eukaryota; Metazoa; Arthropoda; Insecta; Hymenoptera; Halictidae. The record is from RefSeq and is a predicted model, not a curated record.
GUGCUUUGCUCUUACGUAACUUCUGACUAUAACUAUGUUUUUAUCUAUAAAUAUUUCAUCGUACUUAGUCAUUUAUUGAUUGUUCAUUCGUAUCGUGAUUAAUUCAGGAGCACGUGCUUGAAAUUAUAAUGCAGUAUUCGUUGCUGUUUCAUUACGUCUAUAAUUAAUUCAAUGCCGAGGCGAGAAUGAAAAGCUUCAUCAGGUUGGAGUCGCAGUUGAUCCGCUGAUAAAGGAAAGCUUGUGAAGUACCGUUAACCAGAGCCACCAUCGAAACCUUUAUCUUUUUCUCCCCUACUACGCAUGCAAUGAGCAUAACUUGAACGAACGUCAUCAGAAGAGAGGCUCGAGCUUAGAAAGUUGUGCGCAACUCGCAGCGAAACCAGAUUCGUGGGAGGAAGUGGCGAAGGGGGAGUAGUAGUCAGCGAUGUUGGGUCAACGUGAUUACGUUUCUGCGCACACCAACAUGGCUUCUGCGCAUACUAGUAGGAGUUGCCAACCAAAGGACGAGAAGUCCAUGGUAGGGAUGAAAUCAAUAGUCAAGUAUUCUGUGGAAUGAGAAUAUCAACUGGAUAUGUAUAUUUAGCUAUUCAAUUGCUUGCUUGAGCUUUAUUCACCGGAAAGGACGCGGUAGAAAUAGUCAGAGGCGAAUCCCCAUUACGGUGUAAUGUUUUCUUUCUUUCUAUUUUCUUAUAAUGAUAUUCGAUCUCGACGUUGUGACCAAAAAGGAUGCUGGCCUCUGUGACUAUAAAUAUGAAUUUUUAUAUGCAAAAUGUUUCACGGAUUCGAUGUCAUGUUAUCGAAUAAAUAUAAAAAUUCGUUGCAAAUUAUACAUACAGUUGUGGCUAUGAAAUUGUAAAUUCAGGAAAUAUGGCUUGGGUGGGGUGAUAUUCGAUGAUUUUAUUGUAAUACGAGUCGGUUGCGGUAUUCUGUUUGAUCUAAAUAUAGAAUUUCAAGCAAA